CUUGAACUUGCUAGAGUCUGCAUCAAAAUUUAAGCUACCACCAGCUGCUUAAGCAGCAACUAAAGAAAACGAUCAAUUAUUGCUGUGUUUUGGUUGGUCUUAUCCGAGAUUAAAUUUUGAAAAUAAAAAUGUAACAAAGUGGUAAAGAAGAAGAAGUAUUUCAAAAUAAAAUAUUCAAAUAAAAAAAACAAAAGAAAUCAGUGAAAAUUUUUUUAUUAAUCAAAAUAAAAUUUUUAAUACCUUUAGAGAGAAGGUGUUGUUGAUGUGUGAAUAAAGUUAAUAAAAGAAAAAAUAGUUUGAAAAUAAAAUGUUGUAAAAGAAAACCUUAAAUAAACCGUUAAUAAAACCAUAAUAUGUUUUCUAUUGCAUUGAAAUGUUACGUUUAACAAAAAAAACAUUUUACAUUUGUUCAUUUUUUUCUUAAUGUUUAAUGACAAUUAAUGUAACGGUUACGAAACGCUGUUUUAAAGACAAUAACAACAACAAAAAUCUAGAAAAUUAUAACUUGUACAUCAUUCAAAAAAAGGUGUUUGUAUAGAGAAGAUUCUUUAAGUUGAAGAUAAGAAAAGCUUUUAACUUGCUGUGUUGACAACAAUGGAUUGGCUUCGUAAUUUAUUGUUAUUAUUGGUCUUGAUGCCAUUUGUUUACAGUUGGAGUCCCAUACCCAGCUCACGCAGUCGAAGUUUUUAUGCAGCUUCACAACAACAGCAGCAACAACAACAAAAACAAUUACUACAGCAUAAACAACAGCAGACCGCAGCAGCUUCAAGUCAAAGAAGUGCAGUUUCGCCAUAUUUUGAUUUAAUAUUAUGUCCCAUACGAGAACAGCCCUGGUCUUGUGCACGUCAACAAUCGGCCCGUCUUUUAGACAUUUGGGAUGGGGAAUUGCAUGUUCAGUGGCAAAAGUUGAAAGCUGAAGCCGAUCGUCAAUUGAACUCCACACUAGAAAGACGUGGCUACAGUGAUUCCACAACCUUAAGCAAAGAAAAACCCUCAACAAUUUUAAAGAAAAUUGAAAUUGGAACAAAUUAUAUGAAAGAAUAUUUGGCUGAAACUAUGGAUGGAUUUUUAGGACGUGAAUAUGAAUAUUUACAAAAUACCAAAAACAAUUAUCAAACACAAAACGAUGAAGAAAAUGAAGAACAUACCGAUGAGUAUGAAGAGACUGACGAUGAUGAGGAUGAAGAGGAAGAUGAUGAACAAGACAAUACUGGCAAUGCUAAUGAACAGACAGGAGAUUUAAAAAAUACCAAUAAUGGGGCAGAGAAUGCAAAUAAUCUUAGUCAAGCUGCUGAUAGUGAUGCGGAAUUCUUUGAAAUCGAAGAGGGAACAGACAAUAACGAAGAUAAUGAACAAGAAACUGAUGAUGCUGUUGAAGAACUUAAAAAACCAGGAGGUGGCAAUAAGCGACGUAAAAAGAAAAAGAAGAAGGGCAGUCAACAUGAUAUUGGAACUCAAGCUGCUAAUCUCUUAGUCAUACAACCAUUAGAACAUCAAUUAGCAUCACAUCAACAUCAUGAUGAUAGUUUUGAUGCUCAUGGUGCUACACAGCUGCUACAGCCAGUUGUCCAGAAAAUCAAACCUUUAAAACAAAAGAAACGCAAGAAGAAGAAGGGUCAACAUGGUGGUGGUCAUGGCGGUGCUACUGCUACUUAUGUUGUUGAACAAGAACCUGCAACCGAUCAUUUAGGUUUGGGUCUACUCGAAGAAUUGGCCGAAUGGGAUGUUGACGAUGGAUUUGGCGGAAAGCGCAAGAAAAAACAUUCAAUGAAAUAUGGUAGAAGUAAUGGAGUGACUCGCGGCAAGAAAAAGAAGAAGAAGAAGGCUUUAAUGAAACUGAUGCUUUUGGGCUCUUUCCUUAAGGCCAAAAUAGAAUUAUUGCUGAAAUUGUUGGGUGCUCAUUUACAAAUUAAAUUCUUUGCCAUUGCUCUGAUUGGUCUGCUGAUUAAUAUUGCUCGUUUCUGGAUUGAUGUCAAACGUGGUGGUACACCACAGAAGGAAACAAGAUGAUAAAACAAAAUUUGUCUUUUUUUCAAAAACUGUAUAAUAAAAAUUGUAAAACUACUAAUGGAACCAUAAACGAUCGUGUAAACAACCUAUAACAAUUUUGGUUACUAAAUUCCGAGCAGUUAGUAAAAUCUAAUAACUAACUCUAGUGCAUCAUUAUGAAGAUCAUGGCGAUGACUGGAGUGAAUCGGCUGGCGGUGGUGGUGGCGGCUAUUGGAAGAGAUCUUUACAAACAGAUUCCACGGAAAACACUUACGACUCGGUAACCGAUAGUUAUCAACCCCGUCCACAAC
RNAcentral lists this unclassified non-coding RNA (2300 nucleotides) under Lucilia cuprina (Australian sheep blowfly). Its description in RNAcentral is "uncharacterized LOC111685706, transcript variant X4". The record is from RNAcentral. Lineage: Eukaryota; Metazoa; Arthropoda; Insecta; Diptera; Calliphoridae.